This 665-nucleotide long non-coding RNA is filed under the name Sarcophilus harrisii (Tasmanian devil). Its description in RNAcentral is "lncRNA (ENSSHAG00000028882.1)". The record is from RNAcentral. Lineage: Eukaryota; Metazoa; Chordata; Mammalia; Dasyuromorphia; Dasyuridae.
GCUGAGCAUCGCGGGAACAAAGGGGAGGGAAACACGAUCCUCGCCCUGAGCGGCUCCCGGUCCCAGGGGGAGAAAACCCGAAAACUGCGCAAACAAGGGGCGGAGCCUGUGGGUGCGUGAAGGGAGACGCCCCCGCGCCCACAGGGACCCACAGGCCGCGUAGCUGGAGACGGAGAGAAGGGGGAGGGGCAAUUAGCAGAGGGAAGGUGCGGAACAAGGGGGGCGGGAAAGGGCCCCGCGGGAGCCGAUCUGCGGCGCUGUCCCCGAGAAGGAGGACCGCGGAGGGAGACGGGCCCGCGGAGGGAGACGGGUCGGCGGAGGGAGACAAAAUGGCGGGCGGGUUGGGGGAGGGGACCGGGGAUAAGGGAGAAAAUGGCAGGAACAGACCCGGGAGGUAAAUGAAGGUUCCGCCACUGAUGACAUCCCGCCCUGACCCCUUUCCCUGACUCCCGGCGGGGCCUCCCUCCCCUCUGGGCCCGGCAGCAGGACGGGCGAGACGUUCGCUGGGGCGUGGCUGACGGGCGGAGCCGGCGCCACAUCCCCAGGUCCCUGGUCCCCAAAGCGCCCUGUCCCCGGGGCCCCUGCAGGGGGCGCCCCCACUCACCGAGGGAGCGGCGGGCGGAGGGAGCCCGGCGGCCAUUUCUCCCCCUCGGAGCCUCCUCGAG